This 254-nucleotide ribosomal RNA is filed under the name uncultured bacterium. RNAcentral's name for it is "partial 16S ribosomal RNA". It matches the Rfam family "Bacterial small subunit ribosomal RNA", at positions 524 to 776 of the family's 1533-position model. The record is from RNAcentral.
UACGUAGGGCGCAAGCGUUGUCCGGAAUUAUUGGGCGUAAAGAGCUCGUAGGUGGUUUGUUACGUCUGCUGUGAAAACCUAGGGCUUAACCCUGGGCCUGCAGUGGAUACGGGCAGACGUAGAGGUAGGUAGGGGAGAAUGGAAUUCCCGGUGUAGCGGUGAAAUGCGCAGAUAUCGGGAGGAACACCGGUGGCGAAGGCGGUUCUCUGGGCCUUACCUGACACUGAGGAGCGAAAGCGUGGGGAGCGAACAGG